RNAcentral lists this non-coding RNA (114 nucleotides) under Clostridium tepidiprofundi. RNAcentral describes it as "FMN sequence". It matches the Rfam family "FMN riboswitch aptamer (RFN element)". Rfam says of the family: The RFN element is a highly conserved domain that is found frequently in the 5'-untranslated regions of prokaryotic mRNAs that encode for flavin mononucleotide (FMN) biosynthesis and transport proteins. The record is from RNAcentral. Lineage: Bacteria; Bacillati; Bacillota; Clostridia; Eubacteriales; Clostridiaceae. RNAcentral also lists the same sequence under 1 other name.
AUAUUCCUUCAGGGCAGGGUGAAAUUCCCGACCGGCGGUAAAGUCCGCGAACCUUAUGGUUGAUCUGGUGAGAUUCCAGAACCGACAGUAAAGUCUGGAUGGGAGAAGGAUAAC